RNAcentral lists this ribosomal RNA (775 nucleotides) under uncultured Neocallimastigales. RNAcentral's name for it is "partial large subunit ribosomal RNA". It matches the Rfam family "Eukaryotic large subunit ribosomal RNA", at positions 20 to 614 of the family's 3401-position model. The record is from RNAcentral. Lineage: Eukaryota; Fungi; Neocallimastigomycota; Neocallimastigomycetes; Neocallimastigales.
UACUAGAGUAGCACUCGCAUAUCAAUAAGCGGAGGAAAAGAAACUAACAAGGAUUCCCCUAGUAACGGCGAGUGAAGCGGGAAGAGCUCAAAUUUGAAAUCUUAAAGGGUUUCCCUUUACGAAUUGUAGUUUAAAGAAGUGUUUUCUGUUGAGGUUUUGGUAAAAGUUCUUUGGAAUAGGACAUCAUAGAGGGUGAGAAUCCCGUAUUUGACCUUUACUUUCAACUUUGUGAUACACUUUCAAAGAGUCGGAUUGUUUGGGAAUGCAGUCCAAAAUGGGUGGUAAAUUUCAUCUAAAGCUAAAUAUUGGCGAGAGACCGAUAGCGAACAAGUACCGUGAGGGAAAGAUGAAAAGAACUUUGAAAAGAGAGUUAAACAGUACGUGAAAUUGUCAAAAGGGAAGCGUUUGACACCAGUGUUGUUUUUCUGAAAAUCAAUUAAAGAACUGUUUAUGCUAAGCUGUUUAGACUUUAUCAGCUAAUCUGUUUAGUUUUGAGCUUUUCUUUAAUGCACUUUUCAGUUAACAAGUCAACAUCAAUUUCUUUUGCUGUAAAAAAGCUUGAGGAAGGUGGCUUGAGAUUCGUCUUAAGUGUUUAUAGCCUCUUGCCUAUGCAGUCGGAGAGAUUGAGGUCUGCAGCGUAGAUCCUUCGGGGCUAAAUGCAUUUGUGCUAAGUUAUAGCAUUUUAUAGACAACUUGUUGACUAUGAUUUGUCUUGUAGCUUACUCGCUUAUGUUAUUUUACCUACGCUUAGGAUGUUGAGUCAUCACACAUCUCU